RNAcentral lists this ribosomal RNA (414 nucleotides) under Triticum aestivum (bread wheat). RNAcentral describes it as "partial small subunit ribosomal RNA". The record is from RNAcentral. Lineage: Eukaryota; Viridiplantae; Streptophyta; Magnoliopsida; Poales; Poaceae.
AUGUGCGGGAACCUGUCUUCAAUUUCUUCAAACUUCUGGUGGGGUGAAACAGAUGGUAAUAAGAAAGUGCACUGGGUCGGAUGGGAUAGGAUGUGCAUGAGAAAGCAGGAAGGGGGACUUGGCUUUAGAGACCCGGAAGCCUUCAAUCAAGCUAUGCUUGCUAGACAAGCUUGGCGUUUGCUUCAGGUGCCGGAAUCUUUGUGUGGCCGGGUUUUAAAGGCGAGGUAUUUCCCUGACGGGUCGAUCUUAAAUGCCACAUGCCCAGACGGGGGUUCAUACAUGUUCCGGAGCAUUUUACACGGUCGUGACGUGCUCAACGAUGGUCUGAUUUGGCGGAUAGGAGACGGAUCGCAUAUAAAGAUUCACCACGACAAUUGGCUGCCGAGGAAUGGAAGUUUUAAGCCACUGGGCUAA